GCGCCCUUGAUGUAGCGGUAACAUACAAUCUGUUCAUGAUUGAAAGCAUGCACAUUUAAGAUUGGGUCCGGGGUUCGACUCCCCGAGAGUGCA
This is a non-coding RNA of Mycena leptocephala, 93 nucleotides long. The record is from the annotation of a GenBank genome assembly. Lineage: Eukaryota; Fungi; Basidiomycota; Agaricomycetes; Agaricales; Mycenaceae.